RNAcentral lists this ribosomal RNA (468 nucleotides) under uncultured bacterium. RNAcentral describes it as "partial 16S ribosomal RNA". It matches the Rfam family "Bacterial small subunit ribosomal RNA", at positions 28 to 507 of the family's 1533-position model. The record is from RNAcentral.
GACGAACGCUGGCGGCGUGCUUAACACAUGCAAGUCGAACGGAAAGGCCCUGCUUUUGUGGGGUGCUCGAGUGGCGAACGGGUGAGUAACACGUGAGUAACCUGCCCUUGACUUUGGGAUAACUUCAGGAAACUGGGGCUAAUACCGGAUAGGAGCUCCUGCUGCAUGGUGGGGGUUGGAAAGUUUCGGCGGUUGGGGAUGGACGCGCGGCUUAUCAGCUUGUUGGUGGGGUAGGGGCUUACCAAGGCUUUGACGGGUAGCCGGCCUGAGAGGGUGACCGGCCACAUUGGGACUGAGAGACGGCCCAGACCCCUACGGGAGGCAGCAGUGGGGAAUAUUGCACAAUGGGCGGAAGCCUGAUGCAGCAACGCCGCGUGCGGGAUGACGGCCUUCGGGUUGUAAACCGCUUUCGCCUGUGACGAAGCGUGAGUGACGGUAAUGGGUAAAGAAGCACCGGCUAACUACGUG